Chenopodium quinoa (quinoa) is the source of this 1103-nucleotide long non-coding RNA. RefSeq lists it as uncharacterized. The record is from RefSeq and is a predicted model, not a curated record. Lineage: Eukaryota; Viridiplantae; Streptophyta; Magnoliopsida; Caryophyllales; Amaranthaceae. The transcript has 4 exons.
UAAAGCAGGGUUAUAAAAAAAUACGCAAUAAAAAAUUAAAACCUCUCGCUCCCACUCGCCGCCAUAGAUCUAGCUCCCAAAACCCAACUUCUGUGCUCCGUAUCAUCCAUCAUAAUCUUCAGUUCUCAAACAAUCUCAUCUCUUAAUGGCCCUUGAAUUUUAGAGAUUUUGCUUUUAAAAUGUGGAAAAUUAUUCCUUGUUGUUUUUCUCAAUUCCUGGUAAUGUUCUCAUAAAUUUCCUUGCUGUUAUGCAGAUUUAUUGUUCAAAUUAGGUUUUUAUAUUGAUUUAUUGUGGUGAAAUUGUCUUCAAUUAUCAGUUAUUGUAUAUAUUCGGUCAUUAUUAGUAUCAAAUCAAAGGCUGGAUUGAUUAAUUCAAUUGUUAUGUUGGUGUCGAUUAUUUUUCUAUGUUUCGCACUGCCGCCACCCUCACCUCCCGCACUCGCACCCGCACCAGCAUCAACGCCACCACAUGUGCCGAGAUAGGCCAACUUGGAGGACUCCUUACCACCCUUGGAGGGUCAAGGUUUUAGCCCAAGGGUGUUCCAACCCUUAUUCGCUGGGAGAUGCUUCUGCUACGCGUUUGGAAGACCAGGAGGCUCACGUUGAAUCCAAUAUUAGUGCCCUUCUCGAAUAUGAAGUGACUUAACAGGGAAAGGAUUCGUUAGUCGUUACAUACACUGAGGCAAUUUAUCAGCAAGAGGUAUAAAGAGUAAGAGGAAUUUUUCAGUAAGAGGUCAAAAGAGCAAGAGGUGGCUCCUUACUUGGGUUCUUCACAGGCUACACCCUAAACCACUAGUUCCUGCCAAUGAUCCAGAAAUAUCAAAGGGUGUAUUGUGAAUUCAAGCCCAACAGUGAUUGCUCACAAUGUGAACUUUGUUUUAUGCCCCCUUGCAAUCAGAUUAAGGAGCAGCUAAAUUGGAGAUUAAUAGAGGUUUUUUCGUGAUGAAAUGAGUAGAUUUGUUCCACUACAACUAGUCACGAAUGAAGUAUAAGUUGGAAACAUAUCUUUUGUAAUAGAGAACUCAUUACUAUGAGAUAUUGUACAUGUACUAUAUUUUAUAUAUUAUAUGCAAUCAAAAAAAUUUGGCCUAAUUUUGUUGUGUA